CCGUGCUAGAUGGGGAGUUAGCGGUGCCCUGUAACUCACAACCCGCUACAGUGAGGUUGAAUUCCCUGUCGAGGCUGUGUUUUUUUCUGACAGUGUCUGCGUAAGUGGUGAUGAAGGUUGGGGCCCUGCGCAAAGAGCCCUCUGUGAACCCCGUCAGGACCGGGAGGUAGCAGCGGCAGCAGAGUGGUUUCUUGUGCUGCAGGUAAGCCUUGCCUGAGCUAACUGCGUGGAUUACGGGGGGAGGAUGCAGUCGGAGCAGGGUGCACGG
This 268-nucleotide signal recognition particle RNA is filed under the name Candidatus Aminicenantota bacterium. RNAcentral's name for it is "Candidatus Aminicenantes bacterium signal recognition particle sRNA large type". It matches the Rfam family "Bacterial large signal recognition particle RNA". From Rfam's summary of the family: The signal recognition particle (SRP) is a universally conserved ribonucleoprotein involved in the co-translational targeting of proteins to membranes. The record is from RNAcentral. RNAcentral also lists the same sequence under 1 other name. Lineage: Bacteria; Candidatus Aminicenantota.